Molecule: long non-coding RNA, 939 nt
Filed under: Oryzias sinensis (Chinese medaka)
Lineage: Eukaryota; Metazoa; Chordata; Actinopteri; Beloniformes; Adrianichthyidae
Description: lncRNA (ENSOSIG00000014262.1)
Source: RNAcentral
AUGGAUGACAGACAAUGGCUAGAGGAUAACUUUGGACAGUUCAGAUUCCUGGCCUCCUAUCAAGAUUUUAUUUCCCUGAAAAACAAUUUCAAUGCCGUUGAAGUUGCGGAUCUUCUCACUGUCAGUCAGCUCGGGCAGCUUGCAGCAACACCCUCACAGCUAACAAGCAAGCAAGUUGUUGCAAAAAUUAUGACAGCCAUCACCCCUGCUGAAUUUGACGUUUUCUUUGACAUCGUUUCACCAGCUAUUGAAGCACAGUCAGCCAGCUACUCUGUUGAUGUGAAAUCUGCCUUCAUCCAAGCAGUUUUUGCCAGAGGAAAUCUUUCCUCCUCUGCUGUUAAUGAUGAAGAGUUCCUGCACUGGCUCACAGUUAGAUUAUGCCCUCUCUUUGUCAACCUGUCCUCAAACCUGGUGACCCCCUUAUUCCAAAUUGGAACAAGUAGAAACUGCAAUGGGAGUCAAGAGUUGAUUAAACUCCUGGACACACUAAAGAUGACAUUCACGACCAACACUGAAAAGGAGGUUUACAGAAACAUCCUCCUGUUCCUUCAAGUUCCAGUCCCCCUGAAAUGUUACAAGAGUGGAAGUUUCUACACCUAUUUGAAAAGUAGUUUUCUGAGCUUUGGAUUUCCAAAUGUGUCUACACUUGUGUCUCUUUUACCAACAAUACGCAAGUCAGAGCUCCUUAAUACCAUCAGUCCAGCAGAACUGGGUCACUUCCUCAGUCAAUCCAAUGUGAUUGAUGACCAGUUGAGUUUAUGUGAUGUCUUUAACAACUACAACAACUCUCCUGCUUUCCUGGAAACUGAGAAUGUUCCAGAUGAUGUUAAGACAAAGAUUCUCCCCUGUUUUUGGCAUACAGCCUUGGAAAUUAACCAAAAACUUGAAGUUGACUUGUGGUUGGAAGGUGUAUUACUUGGGAAACAUUUUCAUAUAUAG